UACGAAGGGGGCUAGCGUUGCUCGGAUUUACUGGGCGUAAAGCGCGCGUAGGCGGAUCUUUAAGUUAGAGGUGAAAUCCCGGGGCUCAACCUCGGAACUGCCUUUAAUACUGGGGAUCUGGAGCAGAGUAGAGGUAAGUGGAAUUCCGAGUGUAGAGGUGAAAUUCGUAGAUAUUCGGAGGAACACCAGUGGCGAAGGCGACUUACUGGACUCUUGCUGACGCUGAGGCGCGAAAGCGUGGGGAGCAAACAGG
This 253-nucleotide ribosomal RNA is filed under the name uncultured bacterium. RNAcentral's name for it is "partial 16S ribosomal RNA". It matches the Rfam family "Bacterial small subunit ribosomal RNA", at positions 524 to 776 of the family's 1533-position model. The record is from RNAcentral.